UGUUGGAGGUGCUGCUGAGGAGGAAGCCUGUUGCCUGAGGAAGGUAGGCAGCUAUGAGAGUCAGGGAAAAUCUGCUCCUCCAGUUUCCUUCAUGUGGUUCAUCCCUGAUCCUUUCCCUUUGAAGAAUGCAAGUGAAUUUCUUCUCUUCUCUGUGAAGAAAAUGAAUCUUUCAAUGUUCCUGGCAGUCUGCCCUCCAUCCUUCUACGCUUACUGAUGCUGUUGACCUGGGUUCCUUGUGUGCUCCUUUGCACUCUACCAAGGUGCAAAAUUUGACUUCUCUACUGUCUCCGAUCACAGCCUUCUCCCAUCCAUAGGAUGCUCCCUCCAGACCUGUCUGGAUCUUAAUGCUAUUUGCUGAAGUCCAUGAGCCUUAACCCAAAUCAGCUGAAGAAAGAAUCAGACCCAAAGAAGAGUUCCUGCAAUUUAAUGAAACAUGGUGACAGCUUCUGGAAGAAGAGUGUUGAAACUCACACCUGGACAGCCAGCCUCAAUGUCUAUCAGGCCUUGAUAACCAAAAUGAACUGGAAAGAAAUGCAGUAACUUCCUUGCCAUACCCCAGAGAUCAAUGGCACAAAAUAUCCAGCAAGGGACUGGAGAAGUCUCCCAGCCUGCCAGAUAUCCAUGAAUCCAAGUGGAAAAGAGAACGUGGCACAUGACACUUAAUCCCAGUGUGAGCAAAGGCUGCCCUCGUACCCAGAGAAACAACUGAUAGCAAAUAUAGGACUGAGACCUCCAGGGAGGUGUCCAGGAGCAAUGUCUCCUCUGUGGAAGACAAACGCUUGGGACAAACUCCAAGGUCUUCUCUGUAUGGGCAGCAGGAAGGGAACAGUGUAAUGUUUGGGAUCACCUGAGCUAGCUGGCAUCCAGGUGCUUAGCUGUGUUGAGGUUUAUUGCACUGGAGUUGCCAUGAAGAGUUUUCAUCAAUCAGGAACGCAUGUACUUUUUCAAAGAAACUCAGGGGGUCUGCAGAGCCUGAUGGAUACGCUUAUAAAUUUCAAAGUGGCAAUUUGGAGGGUAGCUGGCAAGACAUGAGCCAUUGUAGAAAGAUGAAUUCACAGGCAGGACUUUUUAGAGAAUGGAUUUGAGAAUGAAAGAGUGAUUCCACCAACCUGCUUCAUUUAUUUAUUUAAAUUUAUGCUAUAAAAUGAACAGCAGAGGAAAGCCAAAAUUUGCACUUAUGAUUUUUCUUCUUUUUCCCAACCUUCUUUUAUUUAUUAAACUUCUCUGGAUAUACCU
Long non-coding RNA from Gymnogyps californianus (California condor), 1236 nucleotides. RefSeq lists it as uncharacterized. NCBI's taxonomy places the organism in Eukaryota, Metazoa, Chordata, Aves, Accipitriformes, Cathartidae. The transcript has 4 exons. The record is from RefSeq and is a predicted model, not a curated record.